Molecule: ribosomal RNA, 361 nt
Filed under: Lomentaria articulata
Lineage: Eukaryota; Rhodophyta; Florideophyceae; Rhodymeniales; Lomentariaceae
Description: eukaryotic LSU rRNA
Rfam family: Eukaryotic large subunit ribosomal RNA
Source: RNAcentral
UAUCCGUCGUGCCUUUUCUGUGGCUGAUAUUGAGCCGCGGGAGAGGGAGGGAUCCCCUUUAUGGGUGAGGACGAUGGAGUGGCAACGCGAUGCGACCCGUCUUGAAACACGGACCAAGGAGUCUAACAUGUUUGCGAGUUGAAGGGUAGUAAACCUGGAGGCGCAGUGAAAGCGAACUUCUAAAACGGACAGUUUGUGGCGGCAUAAAAUCGUUGAUUUUAGGUCUGACUAAGAGCAAAUAUGUUAGGACCCGAAAGAUGGUGAACUAUGCUUGAGUAGGCCGAAGGCAGAAGAAAUUCUGCUGGAGGGCCGAAGCGGUGCUGACGUGCAAAUCGCUCGUCGAACUCGAGUAUAGGGGCGA